GUACACGCUGUGACUAGCAUAUCAAUAAGCGGAGGAAAAGAAACUAACAAGGAUUCCCCUAGUAACGGCGAGUGAAGCGGGAAGAGCUCAAAUUUGAAAUCUUAAAGGGUUUCCCUUUACGAAUUGUAGUUUAAAGAAGUGUUUUCUGUUGAGGUUUUGGUAAAAGUUCUUUGGAAUAGGACAUCAUAGAGGGUGAGAAUCCCGUAUUUGACCUUUACUUUCAACUUUGUGAUACACUUUCAAAGAGUCGGAUUGUUUGGGAAUGCAGUCCAAAAUGGGUGGUAAAUUUCAUCUAAAGCUAAAUAUUGGCGAGAGACCGAUAGCGAACAAGUACCGUGAGGGAAAGAUGAAAAGAACUUUGAAAAGAGAGUUAAACAGUACGUGAAAUUGUCAAAAGGGAAGCGUUUGACACCAGUGUUGUUUUUCUGAAAAUCAAUUAAAGAACUGUUUAUGCUAAGUUGUUUAGACUUUAUCAGCUAACUGUUUAGUUUUGAGCUUUUCUUUAAUGCACUUUUCAGUUAACAAGUCAACAUCAAUUUCUUUUGCUGUAAAAAGCUUGAGGAAGGUGGCUUGAGAUUCGUCUUAAGUGUUUAUAGCCUCUUGCCUAUGCAGUCGGAGAGAUUGAGGUCUGCAGCGUAGAUCCUUCGGGGCUAAAUGCAUUUGUGCUAAGUUAUAGCAUUUUAUAGACAACUUGUUGACUAUGAUUUGUCUUGUAGCUUACUCGCUUAUGUUAUUUUACCUACGCUUAGGAUGUUGAGUCGUAGAGCACGCAG
RNAcentral lists this ribosomal RNA (773 nucleotides) under uncultured Neocallimastigales. RNAcentral's name for it is "partial large subunit ribosomal RNA". It matches the Rfam family "Eukaryotic large subunit ribosomal RNA", at positions 22 to 628 of the family's 3401-position model. Lineage: Eukaryota; Fungi; Neocallimastigomycota; Neocallimastigomycetes; Neocallimastigales. The record is from RNAcentral.